CAGCCGCCGCGGUAAUACCGGCGGCCCGAGUGGCGGUCACUAUUAUUGGGCUUAAAGCGUCCGUAGCCGGGUUGGGAAGUCCUCCGGGAAAUCUGGCCGCUUAACGGUCAGAAUGCCGGAGGAUACUCCCAGCCUAGGGAGCGGGAGAGGCCGAGGGGAUUCCCGGAGUAGGGGGGAAAUCCUAUAAUCCCGGGAGGACCACCUGUGGCGAAGGCGCUCGGCUGGAACGCGUCCGACGGGGAGGGACGAAGGCCAGGGGAGCAAACCGGAUUAGAUACCCGGGUAGUCCUGGCUGUAAACGAUGCGGACUUUGUGUCGGACAAGCUAUGAGCUUGUCCGGUGCCGGAGGGAAACCGUUAAGUCCGCCGCCUGGGGAGUACGGCCGCAAGGCUGAAACUUAAAGGAAUUGGCGGG
RNAcentral lists this ribosomal RNA (414 nucleotides) under uncultured microorganism. RNAcentral describes it as "bacterial SSU rRNA". It matches the Rfam family "Archaeal small subunit ribosomal RNA", at positions 459 to 872 of the family's 1478-position model. The record is from RNAcentral.